Thamnophis sirtalis is the source of this 297-nucleotide non-coding RNA. The record is from RefSeq and is a predicted model, not a curated record. NCBI's taxonomy places the organism in Eukaryota, Metazoa, Chordata, Lepidosauria, Squamata, Natricidae.
GAAUGCACAGCAUGAACCUUGUGUCAUUAGGAAGAUCACCGCUUGUCCUUUGCUUCCACAGACAGUUUUGCUCUUCCACAGAACAUUUCUUACUCAAAGAAAUGAGUGAAGUUUCCUGUCUCCUUUGAGAAAGAAGAGAAGGUGGGACCUCUGGCAGAUUCUUUAGAACUCCUAGCUCUCCGGUUUUUACACUGAAGCAAGCAUUUUAGAUGCAAUAACAAAAGCGUAUUUAAUUUUGUUACAGCUUCACCCUUUAUUUCAAUACUUUGGAUGGCAGCUGAUGGCAAAGCCACGGUU